Molecule: long non-coding RNA, 136 nt
Organism: Xiphophorus hellerii (green swordtail)
Lineage: Eukaryota; Metazoa; Chordata; Actinopteri; Cyprinodontiformes; Poeciliidae
Exons: 4
Source: RefSeq, a predicted model, not a curated record
GUUGUGGGAGAUUAAAGGAUUUCUCAAACAUUCAUAAAAGAAUCAAGAUAACACUCCAGUUAUGUUCUUGAUGAGGGAGUAACAUUAUAACUUGGUGUAGAGCUCAAAAAAGUCAAUUUUUAAAAUCAGAAGAGCA